This 394-nucleotide long non-coding RNA is filed under the name Homo sapiens (human). RNAcentral's name for it is "non-protein coding lnc-CNKSR3-4:2". Lineage: Eukaryota; Metazoa; Chordata; Mammalia; Primates; Hominidae. The record is from RNAcentral.
CUCUUUGGUCAACAUUUGCUUUCUAUUUGAAUUUUAGGUGGUUAAAUAAACUUGGAUCGGCUGUAAUCCAUCAGGAAUCCACUACAAAGGAUGAAGAAUGUUACAGUGAAAGUGAACAGGAAGAUCCAGAAAUAGCUGCGGAGACACCACCCCCUCCUCACGCUUCCCAGACUCAGUCUUUGACUGCACAGCAGGCAUCUUCAUCCUCACCCAGCCUGAGUGGAACGUCGUAUUCUUUCUCUUCCCUGGAAAAUACAGUGAAGACACCCAGCAGUUUUCCUUCCUCCUUAUCUAAAGAGAGACAAUCCUUGCCUGACACAGUUAACAGUUUGUCUGCUGCUGAAGAUGAGGGACAACCAAUAACGUUUGCUGUGCAAGUUCAUUCACCUGUACC